AAAAUUUUUUUGUACGCGGGUUUCACUUAUUACAAGAAAAAAAUGAAGACUGCAAAUGGCAUUGUUUGUUUCUUUUUGCUGAUCCUCAUUAAACCUAUUGGAAAUAUUAUGCGCUUUAGAGAACGGAGGGACGAAAUAUAGCUAUUCUGUAAACGGAGGGGAACUUGUGUGCAUUCAUGUACAACCCUGUAUUGUGGAUCCUUGCUGUGCAGCCUCAACCUCAGAUAAGAAUUAACUUGGCCACUAGGAGGUGUCCCAGUUCAUCCUACUCCCAUCCGACUUUACAUUUUUAAUUUUGGAAGUAUUCACAAUCCUGAUCGAGCUUUCCACUUAAGACGAGGAUUUCAUAGUGUAGUAAUAGACGAGGAUUAUCAGUUUAUCAUUGGGAUAAUUAUAUAUGGAGAUUUUUGUCCGUUAUUGAUUCCAAAACUGGAUCGUCCUCCCGACUAUAAUCAAAUGGACGUAAGGAACUAUCUAAAAGUGAAAGUACGCGUCAAUGGUAACAUUGCGAACGUGACUGUACCGAUAUCUGAUGAGGAUCCUCUGAAUGAGCGAUUUGGCAAACCCGUCCGUUCGAAAUACAUAAUUCGUGCUGAAAUACCUCGUUAAUUAAAUUUUAUUAUAUAAAUAAUUAUAGAUGGGCAGUAGAGUGAGUCAAAAAAAAUUAUGCAAAUCAAACUGGGAGCUGUGUAGAAAAG
Belonocnema kinseyi is the source of this 698-nucleotide RNA transcript. RefSeq lists it as uncharacterized. NCBI's taxonomy places the organism in Eukaryota, Metazoa, Arthropoda, Insecta, Hymenoptera, Cynipidae. The transcript is spliced from 3 exons. The record is from RefSeq and is a predicted model, not a curated record.